AUUGAACGCUGGCGGCAGGCCUAACACAUGCAAGUCGAACGGCAGCACAGAAGAGCUUGCUCCUUGGGUGGCGAGUGGCGGACGGGUGAGUAAUGUCUGGGAAACUGCCCGAUGGAGGGGGAUAACUACUGGAAACGGUAGCUAAUACCGCAUAACGUCGCGAGACCAAAGUGGGGGACCUUCGGGCCUCACACCAUCGGAUGUGCCCAGAUGGGAUUAGCUAGUAGGUGGGGUAAUGGCUCACCUAGGCGACGAUCCCUAGCUGGUCUGAGAGGAUGACCAGCCACACUGGAACUGAGACACGGUCCAGACUCCUACGGGAGGCAGCAGUGGGGAAUAUUGCACAAUGGGCGCAAGCCUGAUGCAGCCAUGCCGCGUGUAUGAAGAAGGCCUUCGGGUUGUAAAGUACUUUCAGCGGGGAGGAAGGCGGUGAGGUUAAUAACCUUGCCGAUUGACGUUACCCGCAGAAGAAGCACCGGCUAACUCCGUGCCAGCCGCCGCCAGUAA
Molecule: ribosomal RNA, 507 nt
Filed under: uncultured bacterium
Lineage: Bacteria
Description: partial 16S ribosomal RNA
Rfam family: Bacterial small subunit ribosomal RNA
Source: RNAcentral